GGGGGCGUAAAGGUUUCGACUGGGAUUUUGAACGAAGGUAAGCGAGCGGAAGCGCAUAACUUCCCUAAAAUGUGCAUUUUAAAAUUAAACGCUAACAAUAAUAGCAAUCUCGUAGCUGCCUAAGUGCAGCUUCCGUCAUACCCGAAAGUACCGCGGUUUGGGCUAUGGCGUCACUAAGCGGUGAACGUGCACGAAACUAAGCUUUGCGUUUCGUCAUGCAUUUAUGAAGCUACUUUUCUUAUGGGUUUGUUGAUGCGCCCACAAGAUCGGGAAUGUAAGAAUCAACUGCGCUCGGAGAAAGCUUUCCGGAUGGAUCUUAGGACAGGGGUUCGAUUCCCCUCGCCUCCACCA
This 351-nucleotide transfer-messenger RNA is filed under the name Eubacteriales. Its description in RNAcentral is "UBA1752 sp017629175 Standard tmRNA". It matches the Rfam family "transfer-messenger RNA". From Rfam's summary of the family: Bacterial tmRNA, also known as 10Sa RNA or SsrA, is named for its dual tRNA and mRNA-like properties. Lineage: Bacteria; Bacillati; Bacillota; Clostridia. RNAcentral also lists the same sequence under 1 other name. The record is from RNAcentral.